CCUACGGGUGGCAGCAGUGAGGAAUAUUGGUCAAUGGGCGGGAGCCUGAACCAGCCAAGUCGCGUGAGGGAAGACGGUCCUAUGGAUUGUAAACCUCUUUAGCCGGGGAGCAAUGCCGGGCACGCGUGCCCGGAUGUAUAGUACCCGCAGAAUAAGCCUCGGCAAACUCCGUGCCAGCAGCCGCGGUAAUACGGAGGAGGCGAGCGUUCUCCGGUUUUAUUGGGUUAAAAGGGUGCGUAGGCGGAUUUUUAAGUCAGCGGUAAAAUGUCCGGGCUCAACCCGGGCCGGCCGUUGAAACUGGGGAUCUUGAGUGGGCGAGAGGUAUGCGGAAUGCGUGGUGUAGCGGUGAAAUGCAUAGAGAUCACGCAGAACUCCGAUUGCGAAGGCAGCAUACCGGCGCCCGACUGACGCUGAGGCACGAAAGCGUGGGGAUCGAACAGGAUUAGAUACCCGAGUAGUC
This 460-nucleotide ribosomal RNA is filed under the name uncultured bacterium. RNAcentral's name for it is "partial 16S ribosomal RNA". It matches the Rfam family "Bacterial small subunit ribosomal RNA", at positions 338 to 795 of the family's 1533-position model. The record is from RNAcentral.